UGGGGAAUUUUGGACAAUGGGCGAAAGCCUGAUCCAGCAAUGCCGCGUGUGUGAAGAAGGCCUUCGGGUUGUAAAGCACUUUUGUCCGGAAAGAAAUCCUUGGCUCUAAUACAGUCGGGGGAUGACGGUACCGGAAGAAUAAGCACCGGCUAACUACGUGCCAGCAGCCGCGGUAAUACGUAGGGUGCAAGCGUUAAUCGGAAUUACUGGGGCGUAAAGCGUGCGCAGGCGGUUUGCUAAGACCGAUGUGAAAUCCCCGGGCUCAACCUGGGAACUGCAUUGGUGACUGGCAGGCUAGAGUAUGGCAGAGGGGGGUAGAAUUCCACGUGUAGCAGUGAAAUGCGUAGAGAUGUGGAGGAAUACCGAUGGCGAAGGCAGCCCCCUGGGCAAUACUGACGCUCAUGCACGAAAGCGUGGGGAGCAAACAGGAUUAGAUACCCUGGUAGUCCACGCCCUAAACGAUGUCAACUAGUUGUUGGGGAUUCAUUUCCUUAGUAACGUAGCUAACGCGUGAAGUUGACCGCCUGGGGAGUACGGUCGCAAGAUUAAAACUUAAAUGAAUUGACGGGGUCAUAGCUGUUUCCU
Molecule: ribosomal RNA, 585 nt
Filed under: uncultured bacterium
Lineage: Bacteria
Description: partial 16S ribosomal RNA
Rfam family: Bacterial small subunit ribosomal RNA
Source: RNAcentral